CUAACCUUUUUCAUUCAGGGCUAUCUUACUCUGCUAUAAAUUCUGCACGCAGUGCAUUAUCUGCCAUAUGCCAGACCAACAAUCACACUAUUCCAUUUGGGCAACAUCCUUUAGUGAAAAGAUUCAUGAAGGGAAACAACCCCCUAUACAUGAGUUAACAUUAAAAGAUCUUACUAUUCGAUUAACGUUCCUUCUUCUAAUACUAAGUGGAAAACGAGGGCAAACUAUCCACCUGCUAAAUUUAACCGACAUGGAUCUAUCUGAAUCGAAAUGUGUAUUUUCAAUCCG
Molecule: long non-coding RNA, 288 nt
Organism: Xenia sp. Carnegie-2017
Lineage: Eukaryota; Metazoa; Cnidaria; Anthozoa; Malacalcyonacea; Xeniidae
Exons: 2
Source: RefSeq, a predicted model, not a curated record